UAUGCACAGAGCACAGGAGACUGCAGAGAGAGCAGAAAAAGGCCAGGAAUAAAACUCUGCAAGUUUAAACAGUGGGAGAAGGCAAAAUGAGGAUACAGAAGGAGCAAAAAUCAAAAUACAUAACACGGCAGUGACUGAAAUCGAGGUAGAAGCCUUUGCAGUUGCAUAUUUUUUUCCAUAUAGAUGGGAACUUGCAAGGUACAAAAUUAUUGAGAACUGUGAAGAUCCAUGUGCAUUCAGAGGGUGGCAGGAGCCCUUGGUCUGACAAYGUCUUACUUGUUUGCUGCUCCUUGGGGCAGUAGGGGCUAAUCAAGAUCCUUCAGAGGAAACAGCUUGCUGUCAUUUAGAAUGAAAUGCCCUGCUGGUUCAGGUGGGUCUUCAAACCAGUUUUGCUGCAGAAACCGAGAAAUGCCUCUGUUCUGUUGGGAAAUGUCUCACUGGAGAAGUGGAAGGCCCCAGUCUGUCCCUGGGGUGCCCAAAGACACUGACAAGUUUGGUUGGUCCUCACCAAAGAAGCUUUGAAUUUCUUCUUUGCCUGGCUCAUUCUGUGCCAAGGGAAAAUCUCCCUGUAUCUUCUAGUUUGGAGCCUUGUUUUGCUAGGAACCAUCCAAGUGCUGCAUGUGGAUCUACUCCCCACCCUCAAAAAUUUCCGUCAAAAUAAAGAAUUGAGAGAAUGAGUGGGAGAGGAUGACCUGGAGAUGGUCAAAACAUAAGACAACUGCUAAGAUUAGAACUGAGAUUUGCUUCAAAAAGACAAAAAAUGAAAGGACAAAUUUGUUUCCCUUUGCGCUCCACUCUCUUCCCCU
This is a long non-coding RNA of Nothoprocta perdicaria, 806 nucleotides long. RefSeq lists it as uncharacterized. NCBI's taxonomy places the organism in Eukaryota, Metazoa, Chordata, Aves, Tinamiformes, Tinamidae. The transcript has 2 exons. The record is from RefSeq and is a predicted model, not a curated record.